RNAcentral lists this ribosomal RNA (1355 nucleotides) under uncultured bacterium. Its description in RNAcentral is "bacterial SSU rRNA". It matches the Rfam family "Bacterial small subunit ribosomal RNA", at positions 27 to 1381 of the family's 1533-position model. The record is from RNAcentral.
GGAUGAACGCUAGCGGCAGGCUUAACACAUGCAAGUCGAGGGGCAACACGGGUAGCAAUACCUGGUGGCGACCGGCGCAAGGGUGCGUAACGCGUGAGCAACAUGCCCUAUACAGGGGGAUAAUCCAGGGAAACUUGGUCUAAUAUCCCAUAGUAUUUAGAGGUGGCAUCACCACUAAAUUAAAGCUUCGGUGGUAUAGGAUUGGCUCGCGUGACAUUAGCUGGAUGGUGGGGUAACGGCUCACCAUGGCGAUGAUGUCUAGGGGUUCUGAGAGGAAGACCCCCCACACUGGGACUGAGACACGGCCCAGACUCCUACGGGAGGCAGCAGUGAGGAAUAUUGGACAAUGGAUGGAAAUCUGAUCCAGCCAUGCCGCGUGCAGGAAGACGGCCCUAUGGGUUGUAAACUGCUUUUAUAUGGGAGCAAUAAGGUUUACGCGUAGACCGAUGAGAGUACCAUAUGAAUAAGCAUCGGCUAACUCCGUGCCAGCAGCCGCGGUAAUACGGAGGAUGCGAGCGUUAUCCGGAUUUAUUGGGUUUAAAGGGUGCGUAGGCGGCCUUGUAAGUCAGCGGUGAAAUUUUGCAGCUUAACUGUAACGGUGCCGUUGAUACUGCGGGGCUAGGAUUUGGUUGCUGUGGGUGGAAUGUGUGGUGUAGCGGUGAAAUGCUUAGAUAUCACACAGAAUAUCGAUUGCGAAGGCAGCUCACAAAGCCAAGAUUGACGCUGAGGCACGAAAGUGUGGGGAUCAAACAGGAUUAAAUACCCUGGUAGUCCACACUGUAAACGAUGAUAGCUCGCUGCCGGCGAUACACAGUCGGUAGCCAAGCGAAAGCGAUAAGUUAUCCACCUGGGGAGUACGACCGCAAGGUUGAAACUCAAAGGAAUUGACGGGGGCCCGCACAAGCGGAGGAACAUGUGGUUUAAUUCGAUGAUACGCGAGGAACCUUACCCGGGCUCGAACGGUGCAUGAAUAUAAAAGAGAUUUUAUAGUCCUUCGGGACAUGUAUCGAGGUGCUGCAUGGUUGUCGUCAGCUCGUGCCGUGAGGUGUAGGCUUAAGUGCCAUAACGAGCGCAACCCUUGUCGUUAGUUGCCAUCAGGUAAUGCUGGGAACUCUAGCGAGACUGCCACCGUAAGGUGUGAGGAGGGGGGGGAUGACGUCAAAUCAGCACGGCCCUUAUGUCCGGGGCGACACACGUGUUACAAUGGGGGGUACAGAGGGCAGCCAUCCGGUGACGGAGCGCUAAUCUCCAAAACCCUUCUCAGUUCGGAUUGGAGUCUGCAACCCGACUCCAUGAAGUUGGAUUCGCUAGUAAUCGCGCAUCAGCCAUGGCGCGGUGAAUACGUUCCCGGGCCU